Molecule: long non-coding RNA, 806 nt
Filed under: Brassica napus (rape)
Lineage: Eukaryota; Viridiplantae; Streptophyta; Magnoliopsida; Brassicales; Brassicaceae
Description: long non-coding RNA (BNAP_LNC009554)
Source: RNAcentral
UAAGUGAGAUAUGAUAAUAAAGAUUAAAGAGAUAUAAAAAUUAAUAUUACCUGAAGUAUAUGUAAGUUACAUAACUAUAACUUAUAAAGUGAAAAUUAAAUAAUAUUUUUAGGUUUUGAAUAGUAAAACCUCAAAUUUGAAGUUUCAAUAAUCAGAACCAAAUUUGAUGGUUUGAAUGCUUUUUUAAAAGCCAAAAACCUCAAAAUUUGGAAGUUUGGAAGUUUGAAAGCUUCAUAGUAAUGUCUAAUGAACGAACAUUUUAUAUGAUAUCAGAACAAGAAGUAGGACGUUAAUAUAAUAAUGUUUGUGGAAAAACGCCAAGUGAAAAAGAAAGCCACUCACUAUAUAAUUUCCAGGAAACUUACUUAGGAAAUUAGUUGGGGCAAAUCUCCAAAAUAGCAACUUUCUAAGUUUAUAUCACAAAAAUAGCACUCAAAAACUAAAAUGACCAAAUCUUUUGAAAAUUUUAAUUUUUUUAUUUUUCAAAAUUUGAAAUCUUAUCUCCAAAAACUCAUUUCUCAACCCUAAACUCUAAACCCUAAACCCUAAACCCUAAACCCUAAACCCUAAACCCUAAACCCUAAACCCUAAACCCUAAACCCUAAACCCUAAACUCUAAACCAUAAACCCUAAACCCUAAACCCUAAACUCUAAACCCUAAACCCUAAAUUCUAAACCCUAAACCCUAAACCCUAAAUCCUAAAUCCUAAACCCCACCCUUUAAUUUUAAACCCUAAGUUUGUGACUUUUGAUAAAACAUUAAGUACUAUUUUUGUGACUUUUGACCUUGAGUGCUAGUUUGGGAA